UUCAGAUUUGCCCUUGGCCCCACUCAGCCUGAUCACUGUGUUUCCCUGACACCAGGUCAGCUGAAGCAGCUGUCUAUCCUGAAAGUGGACCAGAAUCGCCUGUGUGAGGUGACUGAGGCCAUUGGUGACUGUGAGAACCUCUCUGAGCUGAUCCUCACAGAGAAUCUGCUAACGGUAGGCAACCCUGGCUACCAGGCAGAGAGGUGCUCAGUUCCUAAGUUGUCCUCAGCGUCAUCUUGAGACGAUGGGGCCUGGAGUGUGUAGGGUACAGUGAGAGUGCCAGCACACAGCAAGAGCCGAAGGGGCUGCUAGCACCGUAUGUGUUGCGUGCUAGCAGAUGCUGGUGGCCAGGCUUGUUGGGGUCUGUGUCCCCUGCUGGGGCAAACUCAGGUGGAGAAUACUUUGGGUCAAAGAGGGAGCUCCCUGGUAGGCGCCAGGGCAGGGUGGGGUCUGUGGGCCAGGGCAGGGCCCUCCCAGGUGGAGUAGAGAGCUAAGGUCCUGUUUUACAUAGUGUGUGUUGUGCUGGGCAAGGGCCAGAGGGGAGGACCGGUAAGAACGGGUCUGAUUUUGGAAUGGAUGUGGAUCCGGACAGGGGGGCUGCUUUUCAGGUACAUCUGUUCCUUGCAAAGCGGGACAGAGGAAAGUUUAUGGAAUAUGGUUGGAGUGGUUACCAACCUUGCUACCAUCUGGUGGACAAGGCAUCUGGACCGCCCCUUCACACAGGAUGUCCUGUUUUACGUAGUGUGUGUUGUGCUGGGCGAGGGCCAGAGGGGAGGACCGGUAAGAAUGGGUCUGAUUUUGGAAUGGAUGUGGAUCUGGACAUGGGGUCUGCCUUUCAGGUCCAUCUGUUCCUUGCAAAGCGGGACAGAGGAAAGUUUAUGGAAUGGGGUUGGAGUGGUUACCAACCUUGCUACCAUCUGGUGGGCAAGGCAUCUGGACCGCCCCUUCACACAGGAUGUCUGUAUCUCAGUGAGGAGAAAAGAGAGCAGCGAGGCCAAGGGGCAGACAGAGCAGGAGCUGGCCCAUGCAUCAGAGGGGCCCAUAGGCACCUAGCCCUGAAAUGUCUGCACCAGGGUACCUGCAGGAGAGGUCCAUGGACAGUGUAGUCAGAAGUUUUGGGUGGCCUGACUGGGUUUGGUGCCAGCGCGCAGGCGGGUACAGAGCGAGGGAUAUAGCUUAAUUCUACAUCCCUGAUUCCCAGAGGCCAUGGGGAUCCCCGGCUAAAGCUGAUCAUGAUUUCCAUUAUCCUUAAUUUGCCCCAAAGGAUUCUCGUCUUCUUUCUUCAUACCCCAGGGGUCUUCUGCUGACCUCUGACCCCUUUUUCUCCUGGCCAGGCCCUGCCCCACUCUCUGGGCAAGUUGACCAAGCUCACCAACCUCAAUGUGGACCGGAAUCACCUCGAGGCGCUACCACCUGAGAUCGGAGGCUGUGUGGCACUCAGUGUUCUCUCUUUGAGGGACAAUCGCCUGGCAGUCCUGCCUCCUGAGCUCGCCCGCACGGCCGAGCUGCACGUGCUUGAUGUAGCUGGGAACCGGUGAGUGUCCACCUGGCCCUUGGGCACUGGUCGUGUCCCUAGCACACACUGACUAUGCCCACCUGGCCCAGGCUACGGAGUCUGCCGUUCGCGCUCACUCACCUCAACCUCAAGGCACUGUGGCUGGCUGAGAACCAGGCGCAGCCCAUGCUGCGGUUCCAGACUGAGGACGAUGCCCAGACUGGCGAGAAGGUGCUCACCUGCUACCUGCUGCCCCAGCAGCCUCUGCCCAGCCUCGGUAGGUUGCUGGCAGCUGUGGCUUUGACUGGGUGGACAAGGCUCGGGGCCAGCCUAGGCCUCUGAUGUUUGUCUCCUGCAGAGGACUCUGGGCAACAGGGGAGCCCCUCAGAAAGCUGGAGUGAAGCCCCUCUGAGCCGAGUCAGCGUCAUCCAGUUCCUGGAGGCCCCUGAGGGUGACGAGGAUGCUGAGGAGGCCGCUGCUGAAAAGCGGGUAUGGGGGGCAUGGGGACCCUGGGUGUGCCUGCUCCUCGCCCCUGCCUGACCCCUGCCCUGCCUCUGUCCUUCAUCCCUGUCCCCGACACAGGGCCUGCAGCGUCGGGCCACUCCCCACCCCAGCGAGCUGAAGGUGAUGAAGAGGGGAGUGGAAGAGCGCCGCAGUGAGGCCUGCCUUUGCACACCAGGCCCUGGCCCGUCCUCACCCACAGAGGAGGUAGGCGCGACGGCGGCACCUGGCACAUAGCUCCCCCCAGCUCCCAGCCACCAAACCCUGGAUGGAGCAUCUGUUCUCAGAGUGGGGCUCGGGGAGCAGCCUGGGGGAGCUAUGAGAGGCUGAGGUGCAGGGCAGACUGGGUGCGGGGAGCUCGUGCAGUGUGCGUAUUGGGACCAGAGUAGGGUGCUCAGGGCCUGCGCCAGUCACGUGCUGGUGACACAGGAUGGCGGUCUGGGAAGGGGUAGGACCUCUUCCCCGGGCACUUGUGUGGCUACCUGGACAUGGUCAGUACUGGGGAGGGGUCUGGUGCUACAGCAGAGCGGGCUUGGCGCGCUCAACUGACAUCAGGAUCUGGGAGCAUUUUUGAUCCUUGAGAGCAGCAGAAGCAGCGAGUGGGAUGGUGAGCAGAGGGCAUGCGCUGGCUGGCAGGGCCACCUGCCCCUGGCUAGGGGAGCCUCACGUCAGGCCCAUAUCUUCAUGGGAAUUUGUAUGGUCCUCAUUCCUCCACUUUUUGGGAGAGCCGUUCCUAGGGGCUGGGCUGCAUAAAUGUGAUUUUGUGUUUCAGUAGCUCUGGAGGCUCAGUUUCCAGGGGCCUGGGGCUACUGCAGGGUUGAGCCUGCUGGGGAUGCUGUGCUUGGGAUAGCCCAGGCAGAGGGCCUGUGGGCAGCCUGAUACCACUGUCUGCAGCAGGAAAAGAGGCUGAGUGCAGAGUCAGGCUCCAGUGGAGGCUCUGGCCCACCCACCAGCACAGCCUCUGAGGGCGAGCCUGAGGGUCCGGCAGCUGAGGCACAGCAGGAAGCCACACCACCCAGCCAGGAGGAAGACACAGAGGAAGACUACGUUGAGGUGAGGAUGGUCAGGGAGAAGGUGGGCCAGGCUUUAGCAGCUAGAGUAUAGACUGCCUGCCUUGUGCCCCAGCCAAGCAGGUGUGUGAUUAGGGUUGAUUUCCACGUGGACGGUCACCAGGCUGUGGCAGACAAUGGCCAGACAAGAGUGGAGUGUAGGGCAGGAUUCCCUUAACAGAGCUGGGCAAAGGAGUAGGGAUGGGGUGAUAGUCCUGGGUGCAGGCAACAUGUUGCAGGAGUUUCCUGGAGGAUGCAGGCUGGUGUAAGGGUUCCCACCCCACAGCCAGGUUCAGCAGUGUCAGGUCCAUCAUCUACUUACUGUCCCCAAAUGGCCCCCUUUUCUGACCCCUGUAGGUACUCCAUUGGUCUUUGCGUAUCAUAAAGUCUCCACCUGUGUGCUCUGUGUCUAUAGAAAGAGCGUCCUCGCCCCUCGUCUUCUGGGGCUGGUGGUUGUGUGUCUCUUACCAAAAGUGUCCUGAGUCCCUGUCCUUGGCACAACAGGGAGCCUCCCUGAGACUCUGGGGUGUACCCAGCUACAAAGCCUGGCUCCCUGGAAGAAGAGGGGGGUCUGGGCCUUGCUCCCACCCUUGUGUUCUCAUCCGCACAGCCCACAGUACACUUUGCAGAGGAUACACUGCUGCCCGGUGAAGAUGGCGAGAGUGAGGAGGGGCAGCUUGAGGCCCCCUGGCCCCUGCCAGGUGGGAGGCAGCGGCUCAUUCGCAAGGACACACCCCACUACAAGAAGCACUUCAAGAUCUCUAAGCUUCCGCAGCCUGAGGCUGUCGUAGCCCUUCUGCAGGGGAUGCAGCCCGACGGGGAGGGCCCUGCAGGGCCUGGUACCUGGCACAAUGGCCCCCACAUGCCCUGGGCUCCUCGGGCCCAGGAGGAGGAGGAGGAGGAGGAGGAGGAGGAGGAGGAAGACAGGGCUGAGGAGGAAGGCGAGGCCACUACAGAAGAGGAGGACAAGGAGGAACCUGCGACUUCUGCACCCUCUGUCAAGGUGGGUCUCACGUGCACUCCUCUCUGGCCCUCCUAGGGUACCUGGGGAUGGGCAGCAUGGAGGCCAGCCCAGACUGCCCUGUGGCUGAGCCCCUCAGGUCAGGCCUCCACUCACU
Molecule: long non-coding RNA, 4163 nt
Filed under: Marmota monax (woodchuck)
Lineage: Eukaryota; Metazoa; Chordata; Mammalia; Rodentia; Sciuridae
Source: RNAcentral